This 768-nucleotide ribosomal RNA is filed under the name Escherichia coli. RNAcentral's name for it is "partial 23S ribosomal RNA". It matches the Rfam family "Bacterial large subunit ribosomal RNA", at positions 977 to 1746 of the family's 2925-position model. The record is from RNAcentral. Lineage: Bacteria; Pseudomonadati; Pseudomonadota; Gammaproteobacteria; Enterobacterales; Enterobacteriaceae.
ACGGGAGACACACGGCGGGUGCUAACGUCCGUCGUGAAGAGGGAAACAACCCAGACCGCCAGCUAAGGUCCCAAAGUCAUGGUUAAGUGGGAAACGAUGUGGGAAGGCCCAGACAGCCAGGAUGUUGGCUUAGAAGCAGCCAUCAUUUAAAGAAAGCGUAAUAGCUCACUGGUCGAGUCGGCCUGCGCGGAAGAUGUAACGGGGCUAAACCAUGCACCGAAGCUGCGGCAGCGACGCUGAUGCGUUGUUGGGUAGGGGAGCGUUCUGUAAGCCUGCGAAGGUGUGCUGUGAGGCAUGCUGGAGGUAUCAGAAGUGCGAAUGCUGACAUAAGUAACGAUAAAGCGGGUGAAAAGCCCGCUCGCCGGAAGACCAAGGGUUCCUGUCCAACGUUAAUCGGGGCAGGGUGAGUCGACCCCUAAGGCGAGGCCGAAAGGCGUAGUCGAUGGGAAACAGGUUAAUAUUCCUGUACUUGGUGUUACUGCGAAGGGGGGACGGAGAAGGCUAUGUUGGCCGGGCGACGGUUGUCCCGGUUUAAGCGUGUAGGCUGGUUUUCCAGGCAAAUCCGGAAAAUCAAGGCUGAGGCGUGAUGACGAGGCACUACGGUGCUGAAGCAACAAAUGCCCUGCUUCCAGGAAAAGCCUCUAAGCAUCAGGUAACAUCAAAUCGUACCCCAAACCGACACAGGUGGUCAGGUAGAGAAUACCAAGGCGCUUGAGAGAACUCGGGUGAAGGAACUAGGCAAAAUGGUGCCGUAACUUCGGGAGAAGG